UUCCCAGACUCCUACGGGAGGCAGCAGUGGGGGAUAUUGCACAAUGGGGGAAACCCUGAUGCAGCGACGCCGCGUGUGGGAAGACGGUCUUCUGGAUUGUAAACCACUGUCCCCAGGGACGAAAAUGACGGUACCUGGGGAGGAAGCUCCGGCUAACUACGUGCCAGCAGCCGCGGUAAUACGUAGGGGGCAAGCGUUAUCCGGAUUUACUGGGUGUAAAGGGAGCGUAGACGGCAGCGCAAGUCUGAAGUGAAAUGCCGGGGCUUAACCCCGGAACUGCUUUGGAAACUGAGCAGCUAGAGUGCAGGAGAGGUAAGUGGAAUUCCUAGUGUAGCGGUGAAAUGCGUAGAUAUUAGGAGGAACACCAGUGGCGAAGGCGGCUUACUGGACUGUAACUGACGUUGAGGCUCGAAAGCGUGGGGAGCAAACAGGAUUAGAUACCCCGGUA
This 448-nucleotide ribosomal RNA is filed under the name uncultured bacterium. Its description in RNAcentral is "partial 16S ribosomal RNA". It matches the Rfam family "Bacterial small subunit ribosomal RNA", at positions 328 to 792 of the family's 1533-position model. The record is from RNAcentral.